AAAGGAGCCUCUGUAGGGCCUAGAGGCAGAAGACACGGACCUGAGUGUGCAGAUACUUAAGGCCCUGCCCCUCCCUCCUCCAGGGGCAAGUGAAGAGCUCCAC
Molecule: long non-coding RNA, 103 nt
Organism: Dermochelys coriacea (leatherback sea turtle)
Lineage: Eukaryota; Metazoa; Chordata; Testudines; Dermochelyidae
Exons: 3
Source: RefSeq, a predicted model, not a curated record